GUGGGCCUUAGUUUUGCGCCAAGCUACGCGAACUGAAGUGCUGCUGUUUUGCCUUGCUGUGCUUUUACCGUCUGUUCCCGUUGUGAGAAUUCUUUCCCUGCUGCUGUCAGCUUUUACAGUGGACGUCGGCGUGGACAACGGCCAUAUGCAUGCCGGUUAUCGGAGUCAGCUGGCGUGCAUAUUGAUUGACUGUUAACUUAUCGUCGUGUGGACGAUGCGGAGUGCCGACGUGGAGGAGACUAGGGUGCCUUGGUGGUGGGAUCCCUUGAGUGUACACACCUGCCUUGUCUAGUUUAUUAGUAUGCGGAGUGCCGACGUGGAGGAGACUAGGGUGCCUUGGUGGUGGGAUCCCUUGAGUGUACACACCUGCC
Molecule: long non-coding RNA, 371 nt
Organism: Astatotilapia calliptera (eastern happy)
Lineage: Eukaryota; Metazoa; Chordata; Actinopteri; Cichliformes; Cichlidae
Source: Ensembl